CAGAAGUGAGAAUUUCCUGGAGCAAAGCUUACCGGGGAAGAACCAGAACCACUCUCAGCUGACUUGUCUUUGGCAAAAUGGUAGUGAGAUGUCCUCCCAGACAAGUGGAAGACUGUUCCCAGACCAGGAGCUUUGGGUGUCAUGCCUAAGUCAUUAACACCAAGAUUAUACCUGACCCUGCCAAGGUCUGUAAAUCACGCCGAGGCUGACUUAUCCGCCGUGGGAGGCAGCCAGAAUUGCUGCAUUUAGAAAGCCUGCUGGCUAGGCAGUGCCCAGCAAAUCCCUCUGCUCGACAGCAGGGAAGGCAGGGCUGUGUCCCAUGGGCCGCGGUGCAAGGCGGCGGUAGGAGGGGCUGUGGCAUCCCUUGGCGUGCGGCCAGCAGCCCCUGCCGGCACCUCCGCCUGAAGUUUGCCCACAGCACAAGCGAUUGCUGAGAUCCAUCACAUGUAGACUUAAGAGUUCAAAGGAUACCCGUGGGGGAGAGCUUCUUGGGAGGCGGGGCACCGUGUGCCAGCUGCCAGUGGCAAAGGUUGAAGUUCCGAUGGGGAAAUUUUUGUUCAGCACAUGAGAUAAUUUUCUGUGAUAAGUUAUGCUUAGGUCGGCUCAGCGAGAACAUCCUGCUAUUGACGGGAGUUGUGUGGCAAGCAAAUUUCCUGGGCGUCUGCUUUUUUUAUAUAUAUUUUUUUAUUUAUUUUUUUUUAAACUGUGGAUCUAUGUACAGCUAUUGACUUUUACAGCUUUGCAAAUUGAUAUGCAAGAGGUGCACAGGACGAGGUGAUAAAAAGUUGAAACCUGGCGACGGAGAGGAUGUUCAUGUCUGACCAUGAUAUGAACGCAGGAUGUCCCAGGGGGCUGGCUCAGGGAAGCACAGAGCACAGGGUGAUGAAUGAAGGUAAGAAUUUGCAGCAUCACUCUAAAGAGCCAUUUGCACGAGGGAGCAUCAUUAUUUCCACACAUUUCAGCAGUUCCUAGUGUGGGCUGGCCUCAUAUUUACAAAAUUUUAUGGUCACUCUAUCAUUUGUGUGGCAGUGCUGGGUUUUUUUACUUUAAAUGAACCCAAUUAAUAAUGCUUCAUCUGCCACUGCUUAUUAACACACCUCUGUGAGAUCAAGUGGUGGGAGAGGGGCUGGCAGCAGCUGAACUUCAUACUCUGAAGGAGGAGUCCAAUAUUUUCCUGAGAUCUGUGCUCCGAGGGUGAGGC
RNAcentral lists this long non-coding RNA (1201 nucleotides) under Parus major (Great Tit). Its description in RNAcentral is "lncRNA (ENSPMJG00000014652.1)". The record is from RNAcentral. Lineage: Eukaryota; Metazoa; Chordata; Aves; Passeriformes; Paridae.